AAACCAUAACGACUCUGGGCAACGGAUAUUUCGGCUCUCGCAUCGAUGAAGAACGUAGCGAAAUGCGAUACUUGGUGUGAAUUGCAGAAUCCCGUGAACCAUCGAGUCUUUGAACGCAAGUGGCGCCCGAAGCCAUUAGGCCGAGGGCACGUCU
RNAcentral lists this ribosomal RNA (154 nucleotides) under Kalanchoe rechingeri. RNAcentral's name for it is "5.8S ribosomal RNA". It matches the Rfam family "5.8S ribosomal RNA". From Rfam's summary of the family: 5.8S ribosomal RNA (5.8S rRNA) is a component of the large subunit of the eukaryotic ribosome. Lineage: Eukaryota; Viridiplantae; Streptophyta; Magnoliopsida; Saxifragales; Crassulaceae. The record is from RNAcentral.